UAAGUUCAAAGCAGGGAAGCUUUUAUCACAUAUUUAUCAAGGCAGUUGUACAUGAGAAGUAGCCUUCACAGAUCAAAGGAAUUCUUAUGUGGAAGAUGCAAAAGAAAAUUAAUUAAUGAUGGUAAGAAAAUAUUUUUAGAAAGAACAAUUACGUUUUAGUCCUAACUCUCGAGUGACUGACAGAAUAAUACUCGUUAUGUACUAAGCUCACUCUUAACUGUAAGAAAUGGCUACGCCAAUUGUAUAUAUCGGCAUAUCGCAAUCACAUACUAUGCACCUGAAGGAAAAAAAAAGAGGUAACACAACUUGUAAUAGAAGCAACUCUUUUGUAAUAAACCGCAUCAGGAAUAUUGUCAAUCUAUAGAUCAUCUGUGUUAGUUUUACAUGGUUUUUCUCAAAAGGAUUGGUGUAUAUAAAAGCAUGCACAUAUUGUAUUGGACCAGUACUAAGGACAAAGAUCUUGAGGGCAUACUAAAGAAAUUUAGUAAGACCCCAGCAGUUGGGUUUAAUACUUAUCUUUUGUUUUAUUUUUUUCCUUGAUCCAGCAAACCUCUCUAAUUCAUUCAGGCUCUCCAUCUUUCCACAUGCAAAAUCUGCAUUUGCUAUGACAUUUUAUCUGCAUAAACAAUAACCCAAGUACAACAGUUCCACCACGGACACAUGAAGGAAAUAAAUAUAUGUAACAAAAUGACCAGUAGCAACCCAGGAAUGGCUUCCCAUGCAUCUAUGAACUGCACACCCUUAUGAAUUUGCACAGCUGAUUUGACUGGCAAUCACAUGAUGCUUAAAGGAAGAUGUUUGUUAGAGGCAUUAUCAAGUCCUUACAGGCCAACCUAGACUGGCCAAUUCCAAAUAUAAGAACUUUGCCCAGUUCCAUGGAAUCUGGUAAUCCUUCGGCACCCAAAUCAGUUUUCAAGCCCAACAAAUGAACCAAAGAAGAUUCAUUAUUGCUCCAGUAAAAUGCGUAUUUCUGGCCAUUUGUGUGAAAAAUUGAUGUUCUCGAGAUUAAUUCCAGUAUAUAUAAUUAACCAAAAAACACACACAAUAGAAACCACAUCAUUUUCUUCCCUACUUCACGGUUUGUGGAUCUUCUUCACAAUCUUUCGCUUUGGCCCGGCACUCACUUCCAAAACUAUAGAAUUGAACGGCAUUUAGAAAACACUAUUUUUUCUUGCCAAGCUCAAUAUGGGAUGCAACCUGUCAUCCUAUCCUCAAGAGGAACAAAUCAGAAACAGAGCGGGAUGUUAUAAUAAAUGAUCACUUCAGUGCAGAAUUCCUAACCUAUUUUAAUUAAUGCGAGACCUAACCUUGAAUACUCGCAGCCAACCACUUAUAAAGAACUUCCCCAUCAAUACAUUUCUCUGUCCCAUCAACUCCCUGCAAAAGCUACGAAAUGUUGUUGUAUGAAUUCCAGGUAGUUCCUCCACGUAAAAGAUGCACAUUGCUUAUGUUCAGGCUGGAAACAAUAUGUGGGAAACUUAGAACAUGAACAAACACCGAGCAGUAAGGAAUAUAUAUCUAGUGCAUUGACAAUUACACAUUCAGCACUCAGCAGGAAAUUUGAGAUACUUAGUAUACAGACGUUAGGUAAAAACCUUGUCAGGUAAUGUGAUUCUUAUUCAAUCAGCAUAAACAUUAAAGAUUGCCAGGAAAUGCACAUGCUGAGGAAAUCUGUGGGAGGAGCUAUUCACCUGGGAAUUGUCGUGUAGGCAGAGUGAAGCGUUUUGUCAUGAUGAUGCCAUCCAGACAUGAUAAAUAAACACCUAGGAUUUCUGCAAAUAUUGUUUUACCAUAAUUUACUGUCAACCUACAGCCAUAGCACUAAAGGAUUUCUGCAUCAGAAUAAAGACAUCACAUAAUCAUGUUGCCUUUUGAUUUACAUGUCCUCAGCCUGUGGGGUUGAUUUGUAGCCACCGUGAAGUUUCGUUUAACUUAUUCGUACGAAUCAUCAAGGGUGUAAAUUUGCAACAGAACUAAACAGAGAAGAGAGGUGGUGAGGCCAACAAAGGCCAACAAAAGCCUGCUCCAUCAGCAUUCAUCUAGUGCGUCAACAAUGAUAUGUGAAAAUGUUUGAGUUGCCAGGUGUAAACAGAAACUAUUUUUUUGGGAAAGGAGGACAUCCCCAACCUGAACACCAAGAAUCUGAUCUUCCGCGCGGUCCUGCAGAACAGACCUGAACGAAUCAAGGGGCAGGGCCUUCUGAAAAAACAUGCUUAGAAGAAACAGCAGAGGUAGGAGGCAGCAGAGGGAGACGUCCAUAUGGCAAAGACCGACCAUGCCCAACAGGAACAGCAAGAGCACCAUCUUGCAGGCAGCGACGGUGGCAUGGAGGCAGAGAAGCAGAAGAGAAAGGCGAUCGUGCACGCCGACCGACAUACUCGGGGCACACCUUCGACAGGUUGUAUGAUAGUCGGAGAACCAGCAUCAAGCAUCAAGCAAAGAGGAAGGCCCAGAAGGUGGACGAUCAAAAGCACCAAAGGCAGCAGCACCAACCGAAUCAACAACUGGAACGGCAACAACAUCAAGGCAUAGGCAGGCGGCAAGCCGGCGUCCCAUACAACGAAGGCAUCAACAAAGAUGAAAGGUGAAGACGAACAGGAGGCAAGUUAUCCAGACCACGGCGGCGCGGCAACAACAGACGAAGAGGCGGCGGCCUAGGAGGCAGCCGGCCUCGCCCACGGCCAGGAAGACCAUCCCUACUCAUACGGAGACCUGCAACAAAGAAGAAGAAGAAAACCAUGAGAUCAGGAUCUAGCAAGAAAAGCUAAUCAAGCACGAAGAAGAAUGGAAAGAAGG
Long non-coding RNA from Lolium rigidum, 2796 nucleotides. RefSeq lists it as uncharacterized. The transcript is spliced from 3 exons. Lineage: Eukaryota; Viridiplantae; Streptophyta; Magnoliopsida; Poales; Poaceae. The record is from RefSeq and is a predicted model, not a curated record.